CCCUGACAGCUGCUCAAAGCUUCUGCUGAAUUCUGCUCCGCUCUGUAGCAGAGCAGGCAGGUGUGAAGUCACUCACACUUUAACAGAACCUGUUUCCCACUGGGCUGGGAUGGAGAGGUGUCCGUAAAACCAGCACAAGUUCUGCCUGGCCAUCUCCAGCAGCACAGCUGCAAACAGGACAAGCAUUGCCACCCCUCUUUUCCCCUGCCAGGGUUAAAGUGCUCCAUCUUCCCUGCUGCUGGGAAGGUGGAGCAGGAGCAGAGGCAGGUACUGGGAUCAGCAAUUCCUUCCCCAGUCACUGACAUGCACCAGGACAGCUAAAGGGACAUGAGGGCACAGCACAGGACCCACAGCCCUACCCAAACACUUUGUCGAAGCUUGGAUUACACUUAGCCGUCACUAAAUACCCACGUGGAGCUACAUCAAAUGGAAAACGUCUCUCAAAAGUGUUUUUUUUAAGUGGGCUUCAGUAUUUGGCUUGAGGGAAGUGUCUCUUGAGGGUGUUUACACAAGGCCAGAUGCUGUCACAGAGCCCUUUGCCUCUCGGUGCAAAAGUCACCAAGGUUAGGCCUUGAGGAAGUGCAAUGGCAAAGAGGAAAGCUUGAGAACUGUGACUCAUCAACAUCAAAGUGGCUCUUUAAAGAAGAGCCUGCAGACCAUAAUUAAUGGACUGGAAAUUAUUUUGAAACAACACUAGAUGAAGCAGAGUGGUUUGAGCUGUAUUUUACGUGAUCGCAUGGUGGGUAACUCGAGUGUGCCCACAAAGGUCAGCAAAAACAUUUCCACUGACCUGCAAGAGGCAGAGCCAGAUGGCAAAGAGAGCAAGGGCCCAAAAGAGGUGCAAAGUGGAAAAAAAAUUCAUGCACGUGUUUUUUAACUUCCCAGCCACAGUGGCUCAUAAUCCGUGUUCAUCAUGGGUGUUUAAUCUGCAGAAAUGCCAGGCCCUGAGGAGGUGAGCUGAGCCCUCAUGGGAACUACUGAGGUGUUCCUGACACCCUCAGUUGAAAAUGUUGGUCUUAAUCAUUUAAAUACAUGUAGAAACAACCUUCAUCAGGGUGAAUGUCUGCUCAUCUGUAUACAGGGCAUUUGGGCAAAGUGUGGAAGGAGAUCAUGUAACAGGAAGAAUGAAACUAUGUGGAUUUUGCCUCAGAAAAAUUCAUUACUAGCACUGUUUACCAAUGAACUUUAUUAUUGA
RNAcentral lists this long non-coding RNA (1195 nucleotides) under Cyanistes caeruleus (blue tit). Its description in RNAcentral is "lncRNA (ENSCCEG00000018132.1)". Lineage: Eukaryota; Metazoa; Chordata; Aves; Passeriformes; Paridae. The record is from RNAcentral.